GGGAGAGUCAGAAAGUUGUCGCGAGAUGAGGAAAUCCUGACGCUGGCUUUGUCUUCCUGACCCGGGAGGUGAAAAGUUUUUGUUUCCCGUUUCCAUAAAGGAUAGUUACUUAGAAGUUGCCAUUGUUACCGAAACGCCAGGUUAUAUAGUCCUCUGCUUUUAAACCUUUAGCCCUAACCCUAGUCAAACCAUGAGAAGAAAUAUCAGACAAAAUCAAGUUGAUGGACAAUCUACAGAUUAUAUAUCAGUAUUUAAUAUUGUCAUGAUCUUGAAAAACAAGAAAAGUCUGUGAAACUGUCACACCAGAGGAGAUGAUACAUGAUGACUAAAUGUGAUACCCUGUCUGGGAACCUCAAGCAGAAAAAGGACAUUAAUGUCAAACUAGUGAAAUCUGAAUAAAGUGUGAAAUUUAGUUAA
This is a long non-coding RNA of Prionailurus viverrinus (fishing cat), 417 nucleotides long. RefSeq lists it as uncharacterized. Lineage: Eukaryota; Metazoa; Chordata; Mammalia; Carnivora; Felidae. The record is from RefSeq and is a predicted model, not a curated record. The transcript has 2 exons.